Molecule: long non-coding RNA, 1215 nt
Organism: Pan troglodytes (chimpanzee)
Lineage: Eukaryota; Metazoa; Chordata; Mammalia; Primates; Hominidae
Exons: 6
Source: RefSeq, a predicted model, not a curated record
AUCUGGAUACAAACAAUUAGAUCAUUCUUUUAUAUGAAGGACAACAUGGGUCCAUGCAAAUUCCCAGUGCAUUCAUGCUGUCUGAAAAUUCAAAAGAGAAGCAAUUCAAAGGACUUCCAUUUACUUAUAUCCCCUCUAAUCUGCACAAAAGGUUAAAUGUAGCAGUGCAGCAGUUCUGGCCAUCAAAAUAUGAUUAUUGUACUUUAAAAGCAGCCAUGAGAACUCUGCUCUUUGAUAGACUUCAACUUGCAACAACUAAGGAAUAAUCCAGUUCCAGAGGAGAUUAGGAGUUGGGUGAGAGGAUAGACUCUAAUCUUAGAGAAUUAAGUAGUUUUUAUGGAACAGGUGGUGUUUGGUUAUGUGGAUAGGUUUUUUGGAAUACUACUCAGCCAUAAAACGGAACAAAAUAAUGGAAUUCCCAGCAACCUGGAUGGAGUCGGAGACCAUUAUUCUAAGUGAAGUAACUCAGUGAGAACAAACAUCGUAUGUUCUCACUUAUAAGUGGGAGCUCUUAAAAGUGGGAGCUAAGCUAUGAGGACACAAAGGAACUUAGUUAUUACCAGGAACAGAUGACCAGUUGCAAGAACUGUCACUAUUUUAACAUUCUCCAUCAGCUGUGGCCAUGUUGGAUUUCUGGCACCUGAGCAUUCACAUCCAUCUGUUUAUAGGGCAUUAUGCCCACUCAUGAGGUUUAUUCCAGUUUCAAAAAGUCAUGUGUAAACCAAGAUUGGAAAUAUAUAUUCCUUGAGAAAUAGAGACACAGACACACAAGGGAGAAUGCCAUAUGAAAAUGGAGGCAGAAUGGAGUGAUGCAUCUACAAGCCAAGGAACACCAAAAAUUGCCAGCAACUACUAGAAGCUAGAAGAGGCAAGAAAGGACUUUCUAGAGCCUUUGGAAAGCAUGAUUCUGCCACAUCUUGAUUUUGGACUUCCAGCCUCUAGAACUGUGAGAGAGUAAGUUUCCAUUGUUUUAAACCACCCAAUUUGUAUUAAUUUGUUAUAGAAGCCCUGGGAAACAAAUAAACUACUUUAGAUCAGUUAGGAAGGCUUCUUGAACUAUAUGACUUUUAAACAGAGACAUAAAUGAUGAGACUGUCCCAGCCAAGUUAAAAAUAUCACUGGGAAUCAAACUCACUGGUGUUAUUCCAGCUCAGUGGUAAAUGUUCUACUGGUAUUUUAAAUAAUUCUAAAAUAAAGUCAUUAUUUUUCUUUGCA